CACGUAGGGUGCGAGCGUUGUCCGGAAUUAUUGGGCGUAAAGAGCUCGUAGGCGGUGUGUCGCGUCGGCCGUGAAAGCCUGCAGCUUAACUGUGGGCUUGCGGUCGAUACGGGCAUCACUGGAGUUCGGCAGGGGAGACUGGAAUUCCUGGUGUAGCGGUGAAAUGCGCAGAUAUCAGGAGGAACACCGGUGGCGAAGGCGGGUCUCUGGGCCGAUACUGACGCUGAGGAGCGAAAGCGUGGGGAGCGAACAGG
Molecule: ribosomal RNA, 254 nt
Filed under: uncultured bacterium
Lineage: Bacteria
Description: partial 16S ribosomal RNA
Rfam family: Bacterial small subunit ribosomal RNA
Source: RNAcentral